AUGUGUCAAAAUCAAUUCUGUUCAGCCUUGCAGCAAAUAUUGCCACCAAAUUGGGUUCUUUCUCACUCCAUGAGCUUGGAUUGUUGUGGACCAGUUUCCAUUGAAGAACUUCACAAACUGAAAGACACUCUUUCCCUCAUUCAAACACUACUACUCCACGUAGAACAGAAGCAAUACAAAACUUAUGCUGUGGAGGAAUGGAAAAUAUUUGCCCAAAUUCUAAACCCUUAUUAUUUUCUUCAAUUCUCGCGCGAAGUAUCCAUCUCCAAUUUGACCGUCUUCCGGCCCCGUCCCCAUCCGCCCCUAUUUGUGACCAUCUGUUCACUUCGGCGUGGCCGUCUAUUUGCUUCGACGUGCCGAUCUGUUCACUCCAUCGCUGCCAUUAACGAACAACGAAACCCCCGCAAUCCCUGCGCAAUCUCCAAACCUUUUCAAUUCGUUCCCGUCUUCUUCGGCGCUGCCAUUCGUGCCCCUCUUCUUCGUCGCUGCCAUUCGUGCCCCUCGUCACCUCCUCUGCUGGUGAAGUUCGAAAUUGCUGCUUAUGAGAAGUUAGUAUUUGGAAAAAUUAGAGAUGGUAUUCUUGUUGUUGCAUCACAUCUACUAAUCAGUCCUAUUCAGUUCAAUCCAGUCGUGGCCGUAAUCUCCAAUCUGUCGCAUUCUCUUGAAUAUUCAAUCUGCAUCUGUGACCUCCUCUAUCGGUUUGCAGUAAUGGUUAAUUCAGAUGAUGAUCAAGUUGCUACACCCCUGAAAGAGGAGAAACUAGUAGCCAAAAAAAAGAAAUGUGGCCCUACGAGAAUGAAAGAUAUAAUACGUUUUAGUAGUGAGGGGCGAAGAAAUGUUAUUCAGUACAACGAACUAGGUCAACCUAUUGAACCGAAUGCAACAAAGUUGAGAGUUUUACUGGAACGACUAUAAGGUUUCACGUUCCUAUCACGUACUCUACUUGGCAUGUCAUUCCAAAAGAGAUGAAAGAGAAAAUCUAUAAACUAAUUGAGGCCAGCUUCAUUCUUGACCCUAAGUCGAAGAAAAGCAUACUUCAAAAUACGGGAGUAUGCUUUUGCAGAUUCAAGUCGAGAUUAACAACUACAUACGUACUACUUACAAAGGGUGCUGCAUUUUGGAUUGACCCGUUGAAGAAUCGGAUUGACGGAGACAUGACUGAAGUGCUUCAAAUGUAGGUUAUACUAUUAUUGUUACUGUCUUUAUUAUGUGUGCAACUAUUUUAAUUGUGUAACAAUCUUAUAUUAUGUGAUAGGCCAUUCAAUAUAUCAAAGAAGAAAAAACAAAAUUGGAAGGUUGUGAAGGUAUUUGACUUUGACCAAUAGGAUAGUCGUAAAUAAUUUAUUCAUUUAAAUGUUUCACACGUAUGUUUUUUAUUGUGCAUCCACAAUGUCCCAAACAAAAUGGAAUGGUAGAAUGCAGGUACUAUGUUAUGCGAUUCAUGUGUGACAUAAUUUCUGCGAGAAGUACUUUGAUUGUAGAUGUCGUAAGCAUUAGAAUUUUAAAACAUAUGUUAUGUCAUUGUUUGAAAUGAUAAUAAUUCUUAACCACUUUAUUGUCUACGUAUGAAAACUUUACCUUCUACAUACUCGCAAGAUGAAAUCGAUGAAGUUAGAUCGGAAUUGGCGGAGUUCCUUUCUAAGCACGUACAUCGUGCUUAGCAUCAGAUUAGGAAAGAACUUUUUUGAAGUAUUUUGUGGGGAUUUUUUGUUCAUAUAAUUUUGUUCAACCCGAACGACACAUAAGUAAAUGUUUAAGCACAUUGUUUUUAACAAACUGAAGCAUGAAAGGAGUAAGUUAAUAGUUAUUGUAUCGUAUCUAUAUAUAUGUGACUUGCUUAUAUGUAAGUGGAUAUGAAUGUGUGUGUGUUUAUUUGUUUCUUAGGAAGAGUCCAAUAUAUAUGUGACUGGCUAAUGAAUUUUUUUUGUUUGGGGUCCUACUGCAUUGGGAUAUGGAUCUUCUUACAAUCAAAUAACUGUCGAAGUAACAAGCUCUAGGCCUAAAUUGCCGCAAGCCAGCAAUAAUGGUAUCCAGUCGUCGUCGAAUCCACCACCGAUGUUGUCUUCGACUAUCGUUAUGCUUGCCACCACCGUCAAGUAAGUUAUUUCUUCAACCAUUGCAUAUGUGCCCAACAAUCGCCACCACCGUGUGCCCAACCGCGUCUAUCUCAUAAGCUCAAAACUGGUCUGCUCGUGGUUAGAUCUGCAUUCAAAGUGUAUUUAUCUAUAUAUAUUUUUAUGUGUGUUUCUAAUUUGUAUAACACUUAAAGUUUGUUCUUAAUUAAAUUGUAUUAUGGAUGUGUUGAACUCAAUAUUUAAUUUAAUAGAAUUCAUCAAGUAAGGAAAGAGAGAUUACCCGAAACUAAA
Molecule: long non-coding RNA, 2366 nt
Organism: Cucumis sativus (cucumber)
Lineage: Eukaryota; Viridiplantae; Streptophyta; Magnoliopsida; Cucurbitales; Cucurbitaceae
Exons: 8
Source: RefSeq, a predicted model, not a curated record